This 90-nucleotide ribosomal RNA is filed under the name Vigna angularis (adzuki bean). Lineage: Eukaryota; Viridiplantae; Streptophyta; Magnoliopsida; Fabales; Fabaceae. The record is from RNAcentral.
AGGUGCGAUCAUACCAGCACUAAUUCACCGGAUCCGGCGAGAGUAGUACUAGGAUGGGUGACCUCCUGGGAAGUCCUCGUGUUGCAUCUC